This 494-nucleotide ribosomal RNA is filed under the name uncultured bacterium. RNAcentral describes it as "partial 16S ribosomal RNA". It matches the Rfam family "Bacterial small subunit ribosomal RNA", at positions 28 to 507 of the family's 1533-position model. The record is from RNAcentral.
GACGAACGCUGGCGGCGUGCUUAACACAUGCAAGUCGAACGGUGAAGCGCCUUCCUUUUUGGUGGGUGUGGAUGAGUGGCGAACGGGUGAGUAACACGUGAGUAACCUGCCCCCUUCUUCUGGAUAACCGCAUGAAAGUGUGGCUAAUGCGGGAUAUUCUGGGUCUGUCGCAUGAUGGGUCUGGGAAAGAUAUUGUUUCGGUGGGGGAUGGGCUCGCGGCCUAUCAGCUUGUUGGUGGGGUGAUGGCCUACCAAGGCGGUGACGGGUAGCCGGCCUGAGAGGGUGGACGGUCACACGGGGACUGAGACACGGCCCAGACUCCUACGGGAGGCAGCAGUGGGGAAUAUUGCACAAUGGGAGCAAGCCUGAUGCAGCGACGCCGCGUGAGGGAUGGAGGCCUUCGGGUUGUGAACCUCUUUCGCCAGUGAAGCAGGCCUGCCUCGUUUGUGGGUGGGUUGACGGUAGCUGGAUAAGAAGCGCCGGCUAACUACGUG